AUGCGAUUAGAUUCGGAUGACAUCAAUCAACACCAACAAAAGCAUAUAAAGUGCUCAAAGGCAGACCACACCAACGCACAACGAAAAAUAAAUAGAAGUCCAUACAGAGAGGAAUCGCGCAUUGUUUUUUCCUGGUCCAGAGACCCAGGCCGCCCGCAGCCACCAGAGAUCGCCUCCGCUUUCGUGCCCCUCGCGAACCUCCUUCCAAAUUCCACCAACCUCGAGCCUCCGCCCCUAUAUAUCGCCCCCCGGCGCCAAUUCGGCGAUCCACCAGCCACCUCUGACUCUGAGCGCAUCCAACAAAGGAGUCGCGUCACAGUCUACGCUAGCGGCCACGAAUCGGGGCGGCGGCGCGCUGCGAGAAAGAGCGGAGCAGGCAGCCGCAGGGGAUCAGGCUGGUGGUGGGGAAAGCGUAGCGGCGGCGGCAUGGAGAGCUCGACCUCGAGGACGAGCCUGAAUUGCAUCAGCCUGGCGGACCCCGACAUCCAGAGAUCGGUGGCGCUCCUCAAGCAGGCAUGCUUGGAUUCAGGCUUCUUCUAUGUGCUGGAUCAUGGGAUAAGCCAGGAAUUCAUGGACGAGGUUUUUGCCGAAAGUAAGAAGUUCUUUGAACUUCCGAACAGUGAGAAAAUGAAGCUUCUCCGAAAUGAGAAGAAUCGAGGGUAUACACCUGUGCUAGAUGAGAUUCUUGAUCCAGAAAACCAAGUGAAUGGUGACUACAAGGAAGGGUAUUAUAUUGGUGUUGAGGUACCUGCAGAUGACCCACAGUCAAAUAAGCCAUUUUAUGGUCCAAACCAGUGGCCUUCCGAAGAAGUUUUGCCCAAAUGGAGGGAGGUGAUGGAGCAAUAUCACAGGGAAGCAUUGAGAGUGGCCAAAUCAGUUGCAAGGAUCAUUGCUCUUGCUUUGAACCUAGAUGCGGACUUCUUUGAUAGACCUGAAAUGCUUGGCGAUUCGAUAGCCACAUUAAGGCUCCUGCACUAUGAAGGUGGACAAAAAACAGGUCAAGUGUCGAAUCCUUCUAAGGGAGUUUAUGGAGCUGGUGCACAUUCGGAUUAUGGCCUGAUCACUCUCUUAGCAACUGAUGAUGUAGUUGGUCUCCAAAUAUGCAAGGACAGGAAUGCUCAGCCUCAAGUAUGGGAAUAUGUUGCUCCUGUGAAAGGCGGCUUUAUUGUCAAUCUUGGUGAUAUGCUCGAACGCUGGAGUAACUCCAUUUUCAGGUCCACUUUACAUCGAGUGGUCCUUGAUGGACAAGAGCGUUACUCUAUUGCCUUUUUCGUGGAACCAAGCCACGACUGCGUAGUCGAGUGCCUGCCAACCUGCAAAUCCGAGACGAAUCCUCCAAAGUUCCCCCCAAUCACUUGCUCGGCGUACCUAUCUCAGCGCUACAAGGACACACACGCAGAUCUGAGCACUUACAGCGACGGCAAAGCCUGA
RNAcentral lists this ribosomal RNA (1431 nucleotides) under Triticum aestivum (bread wheat). RNAcentral describes it as "partial small subunit ribosomal RNA". The record is from RNAcentral. Lineage: Eukaryota; Viridiplantae; Streptophyta; Magnoliopsida; Poales; Poaceae.